GAGACUCUGUGCGCGUGCAUAUCAAUAAGCGGAGGAAAAGAAACUAACAAGGAUUCCCCUAGUAACGGCGAGUGAAGCGGGAAGAGCUCAAAUUUGAAAUCUUAAAGGGUUUCCCUUUACGAAUUGUAGUUUAAAGAAGUGUUUUCUGUUGGAGUUUUGGUAAAAGUUCUUUGGAAUAGGACAUCAUAGAGGGUGAGAAUCCCGUAUUUGUACAGUUCCUCCUAGCUGUUGUGAUACACUUUCAACGAGUCGGAUUGUUUGGGAAUGCAGUCCAAAAUGGGUGGUAAAUUUCAUCUAAAGCUAAAUAUUGGCGAGAGACUGAUAGCGAACAAGUACCGUGAGGGAAAGAUGAAAAGAACUUUGAAAAGAGAGUUAAACAGUACGUGAAAUUGUAAAAAGGGAAGCGUUUGACACCAGUGUUGUUUUUCCGAAAAUCAAUUACGAAUGUUUUGUUUUUGAGAAGUUAUGACUUCAUCGGCUUGCUUCUCUCUUUACGAAACUUUCUUAAUGCACUUUUCGGUUAACAAGUCAACAUCAAUUUCUUUUGUUGUAAAAGGGUACGAGGAAGGUGGCUUUCUCUUCGGAGAAAGUGUUUAUAGCCUUGUACCUCUGCAAUCGGAGAGAUUGAGGUCUGCAGCGUAGAUCCUUCGGGGUUAGAUACAUUUGUGCUAAGUUAUAGCUUUUCAUAGACAACUUGUUGACUAUGUUUAGUCUUGUAGCUUACUCGCUUAUGCUAUUUUACCUACGCUUAGGAUGUUGAAGAUGUAGCACAUCAU
This 776-nucleotide ribosomal RNA is filed under the name uncultured Neocallimastigales. RNAcentral's name for it is "partial large subunit ribosomal RNA". It matches the Rfam family "Eukaryotic large subunit ribosomal RNA", at positions 23 to 643 of the family's 3401-position model. Lineage: Eukaryota; Fungi; Neocallimastigomycota; Neocallimastigomycetes; Neocallimastigales. The record is from RNAcentral.